UAGGCUACAGAGUGAGAUCUUUCUCUCUCUCUCUCUCUCUCUCUAUAUAUAUAUAUAUAUGUAUAUAUAUAUAUAUAUGUAUAUAUAUAUAUACAUAUAUAUAUAUAUAAACUGAUUUUGUUUUUUAAAACAAAUUCUCAUCAUUUUGAGUGGUCCUUAGCAAUAAGAUUAUUUUCAUGUUUAAUAAGUUUAUUAUCAGGGCUGGAGAGAUGGCUUAGUGAUUAGGAACGCUGACUACUCUCCCAGAGGUCCUGAAUUCAAUUCCCAGCAAUCACGUGGUGGCUCACAACCAUCUGUUAUGGUUUUCAAAGCCAUCUUCUGGUGUGUCUGAAGAGAGCAACAGUGUACUCACAUCAAAUAAAUCUUUUUUAAAAAUGUAUUAUCACUUGUUCCGUAAUUCAUUAUAUAUCUAAUGGAAGGCUAGUGUGCAAAGUCCUGAGUUCAGUUUCUACUGGACAUGCCUGCAUGUGUGUGCACAUACAUACAACAUUCAAAAAUAAUAACAAUAAUAGUAAUAAUAAUGGUUAUAGAAUAUUUCUGAGUAAGAAUUCUAAAGAUAGAACUGGCUUACAUGAAAACAGAAACCUCAUAGGUCCCCAACCCUAAACAAAGAACUGCAGACAACUAAGGAAUUCUGAGAGUAGGAAAAAAGUCAUCUUCCCUAUUGUCUUAGGGUUUCUUUUACUGUGAUGAAACACCAUCGCUAAAGCAACUUGAGGAAGAAAGAAUUUAUUUGGCUUAUGUUUUCACAUCAGUUUCAGCAUCAAAGGAAGUCAGGACAGGAACUCAAAAUAGGGCAGGAACCUGGAGGCAGGAGCUGAUGAGGAUGGGGGGAGGUGCUCAUCAUGGCUUGCUGAGCAAGUUUAUUUAUGGAAUGCAGAAGAUAACUCCCUCCCUCAGGGCUGGCACCACCCACAGUGGGCUGAGCCCUGCAUAUCAAUGACUAAUUAAGACAAUGCCCUUCUGCUGGAUCUUAUGAAGGCAUUUCUUCAAUUGUGGUUCCUUUCUGUCAGGUAACUCUAGCAUGUUUCAAGUUGACAUAAAAUUAUCUAUUACACCUAGGGAAGAGCCAUUGGUUAUCUACUUAAUACCAAGUGGUCAGUCCAAAUACCAUAUGCAUAAGAGGCUAGAGACCAUAUAUUUGAAGGGGGAAAUGGUUCAUGAGAGGAGAGAGAAGGGGAGAAAUAAAUGAUGUACUUAUAUUUAAAUUUAAAAAUAUUUAAAAGUUAAAUCAUUGAUAAAGGUGGUACUUCAAAUACACUUAUAAAAGAUGAAUUGUGUUAGCAGUUAAGUGGAUAGUUAUUUAUAGAAAUAGAAAAAGUAGAGAUGGGUUCUUGUCCUAUACCAGAUUAGUACAUCAGACUAAAAUGAGACAACUAGGGAAAGUAAUAAGUAAACAAAUCUUGGGUUGUCAAAGCUAUUUUAAGCAAGACAUUGUAGACCACAAACUUAAAUUUAGAAAAUUAAAUAUAAAUUACAUUUGGGGAAAGUCAGAAUUUAUAUAAAGUAAAAUUAGAAAUUUUAGCCGGGCGUGGUGGUGCACGCCUUUAAUCCCAGCACUCGGGAGGCAGAGGCAGGUGAAUUUCUGAGUUCGAGGCCAGCCUGGUCUACAGAGUGUGUUCCAGGACAGCCAGGGCUAUACAGAGAAACCCUGUCUCGGGGGGGAAAGAAGAAGAAGAAAUUUUAUACAUAGCAGUGAGCUCUUUUUAUGCAUUAGUUAAGGAGCUCUCUAAGAAUGAGUUUAAAAAAAAAAAAAGCCUAGUGGGGCUGGAGGGAUGGCUCAGCAGUUAAAAGCAUCUGGCUGCUCUUCCUGAGGACCUGGGUUUGAUCCCCAGCACCACAUGGCAGCUCACAGCCAUCUGUAACUCUAGUCCUGGCCUGCUUUUCUUUUCUUCUGUGAGCAACGUGCAUGCACAUGGUACACAGACAUGUAGGCAAACACCCAGACACAUAAAAACAGUCAAGUUUUAAAGAAAAAAAAAUUCAAAUAGCUCUGGAUAAAUACAGUUUGGGAAAAAAAUGACAAAGUUACAUAUACUUUUAAAAACUACUGUAAUUAAGUACAAUCUGCCGUAUCUGGACAGAGAAGGUGGAAUAGAAGCAGGGUAUGAUGCCAGAAAGACCACCUUAUUCAACUUAUCUUUGAGUUUUCUUUGUUCUGAGUUUUCUUUCCAAUUGUGAUCUCCUACAGUGCUGUAAUACUAUCAAAGACACUGAUUUGAAAAAGUGCUGCUAAUAUGAAUGGGAAAUAGCACAAUGCUACCCUUAAAAGUAUAUGUCUUAGUAGUUUGAAAAGGACAGAGUGAAGUUACAGUGGUAUUGCGGGGAAAUCUGGUCUUUGUUCUUUCACCUUUGUGAAAUAAGCACAAGUUCUUAUCAUUGAAAAUAGCUUCUAGAGACUCAGGGUCUUUCACCUGGGAAAUCAUCCAUGUAUGGCAGUAAGGAUUUACUUGGGCACAUCACUGUGUCUUAAUAUCUCAUGGUCUUAGAAAUUUAUAAAAGAAAAAAAAUCUAUCAAAUUUAACUACAAAAUUGUAACGGGAAAGAAAGUAGAAAAAAGUUUAGAUAGUUGAAUUGUCAUUAGCCCUUUGAUUACUAGCCCUUCCUAUGUGUAUCUACUGGUGAGAAAUUCCUUUAAUAUAUUUGAGAAGAUAACAACUCUUACUGCAUUUGACUCAAAAGACAGUGUUUAUUAAUUAGGCUUUAGCUUGUGAUAAUUAGAAUUGUAAGUUUCUUGUUAUUUCACACUGACCAGGAAAUAGAGGGUUUCUUUGUCUUAAAAAAGAUGAGGAGGAAAGUUGUUUUUUUUUGUUGCUGUUUUUAAAAAAAAAGGAACUAUCAUAAGCUGGCUAUUUGGAAAACAUUCAGUCCAGACUUCUCCUUUGUCCUUUGUAAAAAGAGAACUAUCAACAUCAAUUUUAUAAAACAAAUCACUUCUACUGGCAUUUCUUACUACUUCAUCUAUU
This 2966-nucleotide long non-coding RNA is filed under the name Mus musculus (house mouse). RNAcentral describes it as "long non-coding RNA chr13:119441555-119444521". Lineage: Eukaryota; Metazoa; Chordata; Mammalia; Rodentia; Muridae. The record is from RNAcentral.